AGUGAACGCUGGCGGUAGGCCUAACUCAUGUAAGUCUAACGGCCGCUCUGUCCGAGCUUGCUCUUCCGGCUGGCGAGUGCCGGCCGGGUGCGGAAUACAUCGGAAUCUACUUUUUCGUGGGGUAUUCCGAAGGGAAACUUACGCUAAUACCGCAUACGACCUACGGGUGAAAGCAGGGGCUCUUCGGACCUUGCGCGAUUGAAUGAGCCGAUGUCGGAUUAGCUAGUUUGCGGGGUAACGGCCCACCAAGGCGACGAUCCGUCGCUGGUCUGAGAGGAUGAUCAGCCACACUGGAAGUAAGACACGCUCCAGACUACUACGGGAGGCAGCAGUGGGGAAUAGUGGACAAUGGGCGCAAGCCGGAUCCAGCCAUACCGAGUAGGGGAAGAAGGCCUUCGGGUGGUAAAGCCCUUUUGUUGGGAAAGAAAAGCAGCAGGUUAAUACCCCGCUGUUCUGACGGUACCCAAAGAAUAAGCACCGGCUGACUUCGUG
RNAcentral lists this ribosomal RNA (492 nucleotides) under uncultured bacterium. RNAcentral's name for it is "partial 16S ribosomal RNA". It matches the Rfam family "Bacterial small subunit ribosomal RNA", at positions 29 to 507 of the family's 1533-position model. The record is from RNAcentral.